RNAcentral lists this ribosomal RNA (173 nucleotides) under Keratinophyton punsolae. Its description in RNAcentral is "5.8S ribosomal RNA". The stretch from base 1 to 154 matches the Rfam family "5.8S ribosomal RNA". From Rfam's summary of the family: 5.8S ribosomal RNA (5.8S rRNA) is a component of the large subunit of the eukaryotic ribosome. It is transcribed by RNA polymerase I as part of the 45S precursor that also contains 18S and 28S rRNA. Lineage: Eukaryota; Fungi; Ascomycota; Eurotiomycetes; Onygenales; Onygenaceae. The record is from RNAcentral.
AACUUUCAACAAUGGAUCUCUUGGUUCUGGCAUCGAUGAAGAACGCAGCGAAAUGCGAUAAGUAAUGUGAAUUGCAGAAUUCCGUGAAUCAUCGAAUCUUUGAACGCACAUUGCGCCCCCUGGUAUUCCGGGGGGCAUGCCUGUUCGAGCGUCAUUGCAACCCCUCAAGUUCG